This 188-nucleotide small RNA is filed under the name Pseudomonas lundensis. RNAcentral describes it as "P16". It matches the Rfam family "RgsA sRNA". Rfam says of the family: P16 sRNA appears to be conserved across several Pseudomonas species and Azotobacter vinelandii. In these species it is consistently located downstream of a predicted TatD deoxyribonuclease gene. P16 has a predicted Rho independent terminator at the 3' end but the function of P16 is unknown. Lineage: Bacteria; Pseudomonadati; Pseudomonadota; Gammaproteobacteria; Pseudomonadales; Pseudomonadaceae. The record is from RNAcentral.
ACCGAAUCACGGGUAUUCCAAAUCUGUUUAAAAAAUGUACAGCCAGGACUGGACGCCCGUUAAAGCUGACCAAUACUAAAGGAGUCGGCGGUACAUCCCCCCAAGUGCUUCGCCGAUAAAGGCCGCCAGGGACUGUGUGCCUUUGUUUUACUCCUAAUGGUCUUAACCCGGAUUCCCCCAGAGCCCGG